UAAUACGUAGGGUGCUAGCGUUAAUCGGAAUUACUGGGCGUAAAGGGUGCGCAGGCGGUUUUGUAAGUCAGAUGUGAAAUCCCCGGGCUUAACCUGGGAAUUGCGUUUGAAACUACAAAACUAGAGUGUAGCAGAGGGAGGUGGAAUUUCAUGUGUAGCAGUGAAAUGCGUAGAGAUAUGGAAGAACAUCGAUGGCGAAGGCAGCCUCCUGGGUUAACACUGACGCUCAUGCACGAAAGCGUGGGGAGCAAACAGGAUUAGAUACCCUGGUAGUCCACGCCCUAAACUAUGUCAACUAGUUGUUGGGCUUUAAAAAGCUUGGUAACGUAGCUAACGCGUGAAGUUGACCGCCUGGGGAGUACGGUCGCAAGAUUAAAACUCAAAGGAAUUGACGG
This 395-nucleotide ribosomal RNA is filed under the name uncultured Nitrosomonadales bacterium. RNAcentral's name for it is "bacterial SSU rRNA". It matches the Rfam family "Bacterial small subunit ribosomal RNA", at positions 521 to 916 of the family's 1533-position model. Lineage: Bacteria; Pseudomonadati; Pseudomonadota; Betaproteobacteria; Nitrosomonadales. The record is from RNAcentral.